GUCUGGGAUACCACUUGGAAACAGGUGCUAAUACCGGAUAAGAAAGCGGAUCGCAUGAUCAGCUUUUAAAAGGCGGCGUAAGCUGUCGCUAUGGGAUGGCCCCGCGGUGCAUUAGCUAGUUGGUAAGGUAAAGGCUUACCAAGGCGAUGAUGCAUAGCCGAGUUGAGAGACUGAUCGGCCACAUUGGGACUGAGACACGGCCCAAACUCCUACGGGAGGCAGCAGCC
RNAcentral lists this ribosomal RNA (227 nucleotides) under uncultured Lactobacillus sp. Its description in RNAcentral is "partial 16S ribosomal RNA". It matches the Rfam family "Bacterial small subunit ribosomal RNA", at positions 136 to 355 of the family's 1533-position model. Lineage: Bacteria; Bacillati; Bacillota; Bacilli; Lactobacillales; Lactobacillaceae. The record is from RNAcentral.